AGUGAACGCUGGCGGUAGGCCUAACACAUGCAAGUCGAACGGCAGCACAGUAAGAGCUCGCUCUUACGGGUGGCGAGUGGCGGACGGGUGAGGAAUACAUCGGAAUCUACUUUUUCGUGGGGGAUAACGUAGGGAAACUUACGCUAAUACCGCAUACGACCUACGGGUGAAAGCAGGGGAUCUUCGGACCUUGCGCGAUUGAAUGAGCCGAUGUCGGAUUAGCUAGUUGGCGGGGUAAAGGCCCACCAAGGCGACGAUCCGUAGCUGGUCUGAGAGGAUGAUCAGCCACACUGGAACUGAGACACGGUCCAGACUCCUACGGGAGGCAGCAGUGGGGAAUAUUGGACAAUGGGCGCAAGCCUGAUCCAGCCAUACCGCGAGGGUGAAGAAGGCCUUCGGGUUGUAAAGCCCUUUUGUUGGGAAAGAAAAGCAGCAGGUUAAUACCCCGCUGUUCUGACGGUACCCAAAGAAUAAGCACCGGCUAACUUCGUG
RNAcentral lists this ribosomal RNA (492 nucleotides) under uncultured bacterium. RNAcentral describes it as "partial 16S ribosomal RNA". It matches the Rfam family "Bacterial small subunit ribosomal RNA", at positions 29 to 507 of the family's 1533-position model. The record is from RNAcentral.